UUAAAGCCUAAUUCAUCAUUGCAACAAAAUGAUAUUAUUUUAAUCUGGUAGUUGUAGAGAGAGUUGAAGCAAAGAUUUUUUCUCGGUGCUAUGUAUGUGGAAGCAAGAUUAUAUAUAAUUUUGAUACCCUUCACCUUUAUGUAGAGAUGGACUGUCACAUAAUUAUUGUCCUCACCUUGUAAGAGGUGCUAUGCCAAUAUAACAAGUUUUCUUCAUUUGAUUUAUAACUGUUGUUGAAGUGUUUUCUAGACUAAUUUUAGACUCUUUUUAAGCAAAGUUGCAGCCCAUCAUUUGUAAAGAUCAUGACCCUCCCCUACCUUAGGGAUAUUACCACCACAUUUCCAAGUUUUGUAUUUAAUUCAGAGGUUGAUGAGAUUGCUACGUGAGAUACAAUAGCUUAGAUUGCAGUUAGAGUUCAAUUGUCAGAAAUUUGGACGAACCUUACAUGAAAUAUGGUUAAAGACAAGAGGCUAGAAGAUGUAAAAGCACGGUUAAAUAUGGAGCUCACUAAGGGGGCUGUUUAUUCUUACUGAAUUCUGGAGCAGGUUCCAAGUUAUUAGAAGCAGAUCCUAAGGGUGCAGGGUAGCGCAUGCAUAGAGACUUGUUUUAUCACUCUUUUUUUUAUUUUUUGAGUAAACCAUCUUGUUUACCUUUGGGUCUGGCUUCUGCUUGUAAGAUCUUGUUAUUAUGCUCUUCUGAAAACUCAAC
This is a long non-coding RNA of Rosa chinensis, 708 nucleotides long. RefSeq lists it as uncharacterized. NCBI's taxonomy places the organism in Eukaryota, Viridiplantae, Streptophyta, Magnoliopsida, Rosales, Rosaceae. The record is from RefSeq and is a predicted model, not a curated record. The transcript is spliced from 4 exons.